CCAAAUCUCCAAGAGUCGAGUUGUUUGGGAAUGCAGCUCUAAGUGGGUGGUAAAUUCCAUCUAAAGCUAAAUACCGGCGAGAGACCGAUAGCGAACAAGUACAGUGAUGGAAAGAUGAAAAGCACUUUGAAAAGAGAGUGAAAAAGUACGUGAAAUUGUUGAAAGGGAAGGGCUUGCAAGCAGACACUUAACUGGGCCAGCAUCGGGGCGGCGGGGAGCAAAACCACCGGGGAAUGUACCUUUCGAGGAUUAUAACCCCGGUCCUUACUCCCAUA
RNAcentral lists this ribosomal RNA (275 nucleotides) under Metschnikowia pulcherrima. RNAcentral's name for it is "partial large subunit ribosomal RNA". It matches the Rfam family "Eukaryotic large subunit ribosomal RNA", at positions 250 to 504 of the family's 3401-position model. The record is from RNAcentral. Lineage: Eukaryota; Fungi; Ascomycota; Pichiomycetes; Serinales; Metschnikowiaceae.